Molecule: long non-coding RNA, 728 nt
Filed under: Centruroides sculpturatus (bark scorpion)
Lineage: Eukaryota; Metazoa; Arthropoda; Arachnida; Scorpiones; Buthidae
Description: uncharacterized LOC111619527, transcript variant X1
Source: RNAcentral
GUAACGACAAAUUCGAAUUCGUUCCAUUUCGUAUUGUUGCCGACGCCAUCUUGGAAUUUUAUGCUUUCCGGAAAUUGCGAGUUCUUUUUCCCUCCAUUUUAACAUUUUUCGUAGAAAUUUUAAUAAUGAAAACUCUCGUAACGAAGAAGUAUCAUUAUCAAGUUUUAUAAUCCACUUUCCAAAGAGACAUGGAAUCAUUUUACAAACUUCUUGUGCUCAAAAAAUUAACAAGAAGCAAAAACAAAGAUUUAACUGAUUGUGAGCACUUAAAACCAGGAGUUGUGUGACAUCAUUUAGGCUUCUGACAUACCAAUAGAGCAGCUAUGUGACAUGUAUGUAUGAAAAUUACUUUGUGGAUAAUCAACUCAAUGGUUAUCUGCUCCACACACCUUCCUUUAGAAAAUGUUGAUAUUGAACUUUGUCACUGCAAUCUUUUAACAAACAUUUCCAUUAUGACAAAGAGCAUGCAACAUUUUCUUCUAUAAAUGGUCAGUGAACUACUUUACUUUACUUUUAUAUUCCCGGGACCAUUUUAAUUUUAAAUUUUGUAAAAAUUGGCAUUCAGAGUUUGAUUUGUCUUGAUGUUCAUUUUGGAUUAAUUAGCCCUAUGUUAAUUAAGCACAAUAAAAUUAGGUUCAAAUUUUCUUUAUCAUAUUUAAUGUAAUAGAGAUAACUGUAAAAGCAGAUUAUAAAUUAUGAAUUAUUGUAAAAUUUAUAUUUUAAAUAAA